RNAcentral lists this ribosomal RNA (844 nucleotides) under uncultured organism. RNAcentral describes it as "bacterial SSU rRNA". It matches the Rfam family "Bacterial small subunit ribosomal RNA", at positions 8 to 843 of the family's 1533-position model. The record is from RNAcentral.
AGAGUUUGAUCCUGGCUCAGAACGAACGCUGGCGGCGCGUUUUAAGCAUGCAAGUCGAACGGUACGCAUGGUGCUUGCACUGUGCUGAGAGUGGCGAACUGGUGAGUAACACGUAGGUGAUCUACCUUGAGGCCUGGGAUAGCCUGUGGAAACACAGGGUAAGACCGGAUGAGCCCCUGUACUUGCGGGUAGAGGGGGAAAGGUGCUAUGGCACCGCCUUAGGAUGAGCCUGCGUCCCAUUAGUUAGUUGGUGGGGUAAAGGCCUACCAAGGCGACGAUGGGUAGCCGGCCUGAGAGGGUGAUCGGCCACACUGGGACUGAGACACGGCCCAGACUCCUACGGGAGGCAGCAGCUAAGAAUCUUCCGCAAUGGACGAAAGUCUGACGGAGCGACGCCGCGUGAACGAAGAAGGCCGGAAGGUUGUAAAGUUCUUUUGCGGGUGAAGAAUAAGGCGAGGAGGGAAUGCCUCGCUGAUGACGUUAGCCUGUGAAUAAGCCCCGGCUAAUUACGUGCCAGCAGCCGCGGUAACACGUAAGGGGCGAGCGUUGUUCGGAAUUAUUGGGCGUAAAGGGCGUGUAGGCUGUUUUGUAAGCCUGGUGUGAAAGUGCACGGCUUAACUGUGUAUGUGCGCUGGGAACUGCAAGACUAGAGUCCGGAAGGGGGAGGUAGAAUUCCUGGUGUAGGGGUGAAAUCUGUAGAUAUCAGGAAGAAUACCGGUGGCGAAGGCGACCUCCUGGUCCUGGACUGACGCUGAGGCGCGAAAGCGUGGGGAGCGAACAGGAUUAGAUACCCUGGUAGUCCACGCUGUAAACGAUGUGCACUAGUGUUGGGGCAAGAGCUUCA